This 382-nucleotide ribosomal RNA is filed under the name uncultured Anaerolineaceae bacterium. Its description in RNAcentral is "bacterial SSU rRNA". It matches the Rfam family "Bacterial small subunit ribosomal RNA", at positions 986 to 1382 of the family's 1533-position model. The record is from RNAcentral. Lineage: Bacteria; Bacillati; Chloroflexota; Anaerolineae; Anaerolineales; Anaerolineaceae.
AUACAAGUAGUAGGAAGGAAACUGGACGACCCUUCGGGAGGCUUGAACAGGUGCUGCAUGGCUGUCGUCAGCUCGUGUCGUGAGAUGUUCGGUUAAGUCCGCUAACGAGCGCAACCCUCGCUGUGUGUUACAAGUGUCACACGGAACUGCCGGUCAUAAACCGGAGGAAGGUGGGGAUGACGUCAAGUCAGCAUGGCCUUUAUAUCCUGGGCUACACACACGCUACAAUGGGAAGGGACAAUAGGUUGCGAAGCCGCGAGGCGGAGCCAAUCCAGCAAAACUUCCCUCAGUUCAGAUUGCAGGCUGCAACUCGCCUGCAUGAAGUUGGAGUUGCUAGUAAACGCAGGUCAGCCAUACUGCGUUGAAUACGUUCCCGGGGCUU